RNAcentral lists this transfer RNA (72 nucleotides) under Laudakia sacra. RNAcentral describes it as "tRNA-Asn". The record is from RNAcentral. Lineage: Eukaryota; Metazoa; Chordata; Lepidosauria; Squamata; Agamidae.
CAAAACCGGUGGGCCUCGAUCCCACAAAAAAUAGUUAACAGCUAUUUACCCAAACCAGCGGGCAUCAGUUUA